AGGACGAACGCUUGCGACGUGCCUAAGAAAUGCAAGUCGAGCGAGGUAGCAAUACCUAGCGGCGAACGGUCGCGUAACACGUAAGCAACCUGCCCCAAAGACCGGGACAACGUUCCGAAAGGAGCGCUAAUACCGGAUGUGCCCAUCUUUUGACAUCGGAGGAUGAGUAAAGCGCGCAAUCGGCUUUGGGAGGGGCUUGCGGCCUAUCAGCUAGAUGGUGGGGUAACGGCCUACCAUGGCGACGACGGGUAGCUGGUCUGAGAGGAUGGUCAGCCGGAUUGGGACUGAGAUACGGCCCAGACUCCUACGGGGGGCAGCAAUUAGGAAUCUUGCGCAAUGGGCGAAAGCCUGACGCAGCGACGUCGCGUGGGGGAGGAAGGCUUUCGGGUUGUAAACCCUUUAUCGAGGAAGAAACAAUGACGGUACUCGAUGAAUAAGCCCGGCUAACUCCGCGCCAGCAGCCGC
RNAcentral lists this ribosomal RNA (465 nucleotides) under uncultured bacterium. RNAcentral's name for it is "SSU rRNA". It matches the Rfam family "Bacterial small subunit ribosomal RNA", at positions 26 to 518 of the family's 1533-position model. The record is from RNAcentral.